Molecule: ribosomal RNA, 253 nt
Filed under: uncultured bacterium
Lineage: Bacteria
Description: partial 16S ribosomal RNA
Rfam family: Bacterial small subunit ribosomal RNA
Source: RNAcentral
UACGUAGGUUACGAGCGUUGUCCGGAUUUACUGGGCGUAAAGAGCGCGCAGGCGGUCGUUCAAGUCGAGUGUGAAAGCCCCCGGCUCAACUGGGGAGGGUCACUCGAUACUGAUCGACUCGAAGGCAGGAGAGGGUAGUGGAAUUCCCGGUGUAGUGGUGAAAUGCGUAGAUAUCGGGAGGAACACCAGUGGCGAAGGCGACUACCUGGCCUGUUCUUGACGCUGAGGCGCGAAAGCUAGGGGAGCAAACGGG